This 497-nucleotide ribosomal RNA is filed under the name uncultured bacterium. Its description in RNAcentral is "partial 16S ribosomal RNA". It matches the Rfam family "Bacterial small subunit ribosomal RNA", at positions 28 to 507 of the family's 1533-position model. The record is from RNAcentral.
GACGAUCGCUGGCGGCGUGCCUAAUACAUGCAAGUAGAACGCUGAAGAGAGGAGCUUGCUCUUCUUGGAUGAGUUGCGAACGGGUGAGUAACGCGUAGGUAACCUGCCUUGUAGCGGGGGAUAACUAUUGGAAACGAUAGCUAAUACCGCAUAACAAUGGAUGACACAUGUCAUUUAUUUGAAAGGGGCAAUUGCUCCACUACAAGAUGGACCUGCGUUGUAUUAGCUAGUAGGUGAGGUAAUGGCUCACCUAGGCGACGAUACAUAGCCGACCUGAGAGGGUGAUCGGCCACACUGGGACUGAGACACGGCCCAGACUCCUACGGGAGGCAGCAGUAGGGAAUCUUCGGCAAUGGGGGCAACCCUGACCGAGCAACGCCGCGUGAGUGAAGAAGGUUUUCGGAUCGUAAAGCUCUGUUGUAAGUCAAGAACGGGUGUGAGAGUGGAAAGUUCACACUGUGACGGUAGCUUACCAGAAAGGGACGGCUAACUACGUG